AACCCAUGGUGAGGACACUUCCGCAAAAGAUCUUUAAAUCUCUCCCAAGUGUCAUAAAGUGACUCCAUAUAUUGUUGGAAAAAAUAUGUGAUAUCACUUCUCAUCUU
Molecule: small nucleolar RNA, 107 nt
Organism: Pistacia vera
Lineage: Eukaryota; Viridiplantae; Streptophyta; Magnoliopsida; Sapindales; Anacardiaceae
Source: RefSeq, a predicted model, not a curated record